RNAcentral lists this ribosomal RNA (468 nucleotides) under uncultured bacterium. RNAcentral's name for it is "partial 16S ribosomal RNA". It matches the Rfam family "Bacterial small subunit ribosomal RNA", at positions 28 to 507 of the family's 1533-position model. The record is from RNAcentral.
GAUGAACGCUGGCGGCGUGCUUAACACAUGCAAGUCGAACGGAAAGGCCCUGCUAGUGUUGUUUGCUCGAGUGUUGAUCGUGAGUGUAUGGCGGAAGUAACCGUCCCUUGACGUUGGGAUAACUUGUGGAGAGGGGUGGUAAUACGGGACAGGUGGUCCUGCUGCAUGGGGGGGGUUGGUAAGUUGCGGCGGUUGGGGAUGCGCUGGCGGUUUAUCAGAUUGUCGGGGUGGUAGUGGAUUACCAAGGCUUUGACGGGUACCCUGCCGGAGAGGGUGAGCGGACACACUGGGACUGAGAUGAGGCCCAGCCUCGUACGGGAGGCAGCAGUGCGGAAGAUUGCAUAACAGGAGGAAGCAAGAUGCAGCACCGCCGCGUGCGGGAUGACGGCCUUCGAGUUGUAAACCGCUUUCCCAUGUGAAGAAGAGUGAGUGACGGUAAUGGGUAAAGAAGCACCGGCUAACUACGUG